Molecule: ribosomal RNA, 291 nt
Filed under: uncultured microorganism
Description: partial 16S ribosomal RNA
Rfam family: Bacterial small subunit ribosomal RNA
Source: RNAcentral
GUGCCAGCAGCCGCGGUAAUACGUAGGUGGCAAGCGUUGUCCGGAAUUAUUGGGCGUAAAGCGCGCGCAGGCGGUCCUUUAAGUCUGAUGUGAAAGCCCACGUCAACCCGUGGAGGGUCAUUGGAAACUGGGGGACUUGAGUACAGAAGAGGAAAGCGGAAUUCCACGUGUAGCGGUGAAAUGCGUAGAGAUGUGGAGGAACACCAGUGGCGAAGGCGGCUUUCUGGUCUGUAACUGACGCUGAGGCGCGAAAGCGUGGGGAGCAAACAGGAUUAGAUACCCUGGUAGUCC